RNAcentral lists this ribosomal RNA (487 nucleotides) under uncultured eukaryote. RNAcentral describes it as "bacterial SSU rRNA". It matches the Rfam family "Eukaryotic small subunit ribosomal RNA", at positions 67 to 549 of the family's 1831-position model. The record is from RNAcentral.
CAGCUGAUGUACGGUGAAACUGCGAAAGGCUCAAUAGAUCAGUGAGAAUUGGAUUGAGGAUGGGAAUACUAGAUGGAUAACCGUGGUAAUUCUAGAGCUAAUACAUGGGGAAGGGGCGACUCGCUUUCGGGGGGGAAGCCCGGCAUUUAUUAGAUAGCACCGGAAGCACAUGUAAGAGUGUGUGGGGAGGAUUCAUGAUAAUUGGCGGAUCGUAUGGCGAGAGCUGACGACGGAUCAAACAAAUGACUGCCCUAUCAGCUGUGGAUGGUAGGAUAGAGGCCUACCAUGGCGAUGACGGGUGACGGAGAAUUGGGGUUCGAUUCCGGAGAGGGAGCCUGAGAAAUGGCUGCCACAUCCAAGGAAGGCAGCAGGCGCGCAAAUUACCCAAUCCCGAGACGGGGAGGUAGUGACAGAAAAUAACAAUGCUGGGCCAGUAGGUUUGGCAAUUGGAAUGGACUGAGAGUAAAGAGCUCGGUGAGAAACGAUU